GACGAACGCUGGCGGCGUGCUUAACACAUGCAAGUCGAACGGACAGGCCCUGCUUUUGUGGGGUGCUCGAUUGGCGAACGGGUGAGUAACACGUGAGUAACCUGCCCUUGACUUUGGGAUAACUUCAGGAAACUCGGGCUAAUACCGGAUAGGAGCUCCUGCUGCAUGUGGGGGGUUGGAAAGUUUCGGCGGUUCGGGAUAGACUGGCGGCUUCUCAGCUUGAUGGUGAGGUAGUGACUGACCAAGGCUUCGACGGCUAGCCGGCCUGGGAGGUGGAACAGGCACAUGGGGCCUGAGAUAGGCCCCAGAAUCGUACGUGAGGCAGUAGGGGGGAGUAUGGCAGAGUAGGCGCAAGCCUGAGACAGCAGCGCCGGGAGCGGGAUGCUGUGCUACGAGGGGUAAACAGAUGUGGACGGAAACGAGCAGAGAGUGACGGUACUUAGUAAGAAAGCAACGGCUAACUACGUG
This 468-nucleotide ribosomal RNA is filed under the name uncultured bacterium. Its description in RNAcentral is "partial 16S ribosomal RNA". It matches the Rfam family "Bacterial small subunit ribosomal RNA", at positions 28 to 507 of the family's 1533-position model. The record is from RNAcentral.